CCUGUGCUCAUAGCUACUGGUUCUUCAGGAGAACAGGAAAGAGCAUGGUCUCAAAGGCCAAGCAUAUCAGAGGCCAUAUCUGCCUGGGAUCUACCCAGAAAAGUGACUGAACUGCUCUGGGCUUCAGUUUCCACAACUGCCAAUCAUGGAUAACAAUACCCUAUGUUCUGUGACAUCACACUGGUAUCUUCAAACCAGCCAGGGCAGGAAUAUUUAUACCAUAGGAAUUGACGAACACCGUACAUAGGGACUUUCUUCUCUAGAAAUCCCGUUGUUAAUCACUUACCAGCACAUCCCUGGAUAAACAGGAGUCAGCUAAGUGGAAGGGGAGAAGGAGGACAAGAAAAGAGAAGUCCGGCAGUGUGAACAGCAUGUGUGAAGGCCCAGAGCAGGGAUGUUGAUCAGACCUGGGCACUCUGCAGUGAUGAUCAGCAGCUCAAGAGCAAGGGUGGCUCCUGACCGUGAGGGGUCAGCACCAGGCCCACAAGCCUGUCUGUUGCACCAGUGCCCAGGAGGGGCUGUCGACUGCAGAACUGUUUUCUCUGGCUCGACCUCACCCAGAACCAGCGGCAGAAAGGCCAGUUAUGCAACCAUCCUCACCACAGCCUGCCAGCCUCAGAGGCUGGGCCUGGCCGCCGGGCCUGGCCGCCAGGCCUGGUAAGGAGACUGCUGUGGCCUGCACAGCACAAGGCCAUCCUGGGCCCCAACUGCCACUUUCCAUGCAGGUGCAAGACGCUCUGCUGACAAAUACCUGGGGAAAGCAGGAGCUGUGGGAGGGAGGUAAAAAUAGCACAGUUGGCAACAGAGAAGGCUUUUCUAAGUCCUCAGGGUCCUAUUAGUCCUUGUCCAUGGGAUACACAUGAGCUGGCACUGAGCAUUCUCUCUUCUCCAAGGCUCAUGCUUAGAACAGGCACAGAGGCCUGGGAGGCCUCUUGUAUCAUGUCAGGAGCUGCACAGUGAUCAGAAGUUAGGGAGAGCGCCUGUUGCAGAGGCUGGAUUUGGAGGAUAUGCUGGGGCUGCCGUCAUAACCCCACAUCCCCAGUGGGUUCUCUCUGGCCACUCCCUCUACGGCCAGUUCUGUUUUCUCCCCAUUUUUGGAAACCCAAAUUCUUGAUGUUUCUGUUAUUCACAUUGCCAUUAAGAAUUAUGGGCUUUGCACUGUGUUUUUAAUUUGUUGUGUAAGGGUUUUACACAAACACAGCUAGAUGCCUAGAAAAGACAAUGUAUAUGGGCAUGCAGGCUGUGCACUGCACAACUCCAGAGGGCUUCAUUCAUGACCAGGAUGUGAGUGGCGCCCUGGAAUCAUGCAAUGUGGUUACCGGUAUUGCCAGAGAGGAAAUGAUGUCUUACAUGACCCCAUAUCCCCGGGAAAAGGCC
RNAcentral lists this long non-coding RNA (1377 nucleotides) under Homo sapiens (human). Its description in RNAcentral is "HSALNT0358609". Lineage: Eukaryota; Metazoa; Chordata; Mammalia; Primates; Hominidae. The record is from RNAcentral.